This 94-nucleotide transfer RNA is filed under the name Ustilago bromivora. It matches the Rfam family "tRNA". From Rfam's summary of the family: Transfer RNA (tRNA) molecules are approximately 80 nucleotides in length. Their secondary structure includes four short double-helical elements and three loops (D, anti-codon, and T loops). Lineage: Eukaryota; Fungi; Basidiomycota; Ustilaginomycetes; Ustilaginales; Ustilaginaceae. The record is from Rfam by way of RNAcentral.
GCGAUCAUAGUGUAGUGGCUAUCACGUCUCUUUCCCACAUGUCCAACCAGGUGUUUAAAAGAGGAGGGCGCGGGUUCGAACCCCGCUGGUCGCA